This is a long non-coding RNA of Glossina fuscipes, 1708 nucleotides long. RefSeq lists it as uncharacterized. Lineage: Eukaryota; Metazoa; Arthropoda; Insecta; Diptera; Glossinidae. The transcript is spliced from 3 exons. The record is from RefSeq and is a predicted model, not a curated record.
AAUGGUUUCCAAAAAAAUACGUCCUUCCAGAUGACAACGGCAUCGACAUGAUGACAACAUCAAUUUUUCCACGUCUUCUUCCACUUGUGGCUAAAUUUAAAACUUGCCAAACACUGUGUUUACAUGACAUGCGUACAUAAAAUAAUUUUGUAUAACUUUAGCCAAUACAGCGUAAAGUGGUUUUCUCAAAGGCCAAGUAAACUGAAAGAGAAAGUUGCAGGCAUGUUUCUAUAUCGUCUCUCAUGAAGUAAGAAAAUCUAUGGAAAAAAGGAUUGUACAAGAAAACUGCUUUUUUGCUUUAAAUAAUUGAAUUUUCGGAAAUUAUUGUGUAUGUCGUCAUAAAAUUUAAACAUUGUUGCGAAAAUAAACUCCGAGAAGAUUUUACAAACGAGUCUGAAAGCAGUGCAACAAUAAUCAAAAGCACAAGUAAAUUAAGGACGCCCUUCGAACUCGGAAAAAGUAGAUGAUGACAGUCAAUCAGAAGAACACAUAGGAAUCUUAAACGUGGAUUAAUAAUAUGGGGAAAAAGUUUUUUGUUUGAAGACAUUUGUUCUUUCAAAUUUCCGGAUUUUUCCCAGCGUGCCUUGAAGAUUGCCUUUGUGUAAUGAAUGCCUAGCGGAAAGUCACAGACUAUUUCCUUCGCUAACACACUAAGAGUUGUCUGUUUUAAGUUCAUUUAAAAGCAUGUUCAAGCCAAAGUGUGGCGCCAUCGAGAUGAUCCUAGAAUAAAGAUGAGACUGAGAGCGGUACUAAUGUCUCUGUCAAGAAAUUAACAAAUGGAGCAGAAAACGUGGAAGUCUGUCUUUGCAAGGGGCAAAGCGCCAACUUCGAACAGAAAUCUGUGAAAAACCUAAAGGAGGGAAAACCAUUAAACAUACAACGGCAAUUUCCUGACUCUAAAAUAUCGCAACAAUAUUUCUUCUAUUCAUCCGAAUAUUUUACAUUAAUUUUAAAAUGCCAUUCCUCAACAUACCCUUUCGUUAAACUAAACAUAAUCUUUAGGGUACCAUUUCAAAGAAAAAACAUAGAAAUGCAAAAAAUUGGAUAAAUUUUCACAAGCGUUAAUGAAUGAGUGACAUUUACUUUUUAUUUUCAUUUAUUUAUUUAUUAAAUAACUAUAUAAACAAAUUUCUUUUUACACAAUAGAUACUUUCCUUACGCAACAUAUAGUAAAUUUUGCGAAUAUGUUCCACAACUUUAGAAGAUCGUGUAAGAUGAAAAUCUCUAAAUAUUUUUCCAGAAGACCGUGCAAAAAAAGUAACAUUGAAACUCAUAUCUCAUUUGGACUCAUGCUAGAACAAAACAUACGUGUAAAAACGUGUUAUUUUAAAAUCGUAUAACAAAGACGGCGCAAAAAAAAAGUGUGGCGUAUAUAGUUACUAGAUACAUUUCUUGUGCAAAAAGAUACUACAACAUAGGUGCAUACAUAAUACAGGCAAACUGGAUGGGCACAAACUUUGUAAUAAGCAAAUCAUAUCAGCAAACAAAAUGUAUGUAACGAAGUUGGCAAUGUAGUCAAUUUUCUUCUGAACAUACGCAAGGAAUCAUCGAAGAUUUCUCUUGAGUUUGCAAUCAAGGGUUACAAUCAAGGAUUGCAAUCAAGAAUGGACAAAAACUAAACGUUUUUAUUGAAAUACUCGCCAAUCACACAAACCCAAUAUUUUUAAAAGUCCAUGUGGUUUUCAUUAAGCACACUUGCUAUUGCAAG